This 512-nucleotide long non-coding RNA is filed under the name Capsella grandiflora. Its description in RNAcentral is "long non-coding RNA (CGRA_LNC001724)". The record is from RNAcentral. Lineage: Eukaryota; Viridiplantae; Streptophyta; Magnoliopsida; Brassicales; Brassicaceae.
GUUCUGUUUACGGACUGGGCCUGUCGUGUCAGAAUCCAUAUUUUCACAUGUCUAUGAAUCAUCGCACGUUUGGCUUUUUAUAGAUAGGAACCGGGUUCUCAUAGUAUUAUGAUUCUUUAAAGUAUGAUCCAAAAUCAAAUCAAGCAACGAAACGAACAGUGAAAUGGCAGAUCGCCUACAUUAUAAGGCUACAACAACAUGCGAUCCUAAACUCGAAUAUCAAAAGACAGCGAUUAUCACAGUGAACAUACAGCUAAAAGACAUGAAUCUAAAAACAGAGAACUUAUGAGAAGAAUCAGAGACCUAACAGCAGAGAGAAGACGAAGAUCGAAAACCUUAAGAGGGAGAGAGAGAGGAGUCUCACCUGCAAGUAACUAUCAGGGAGAGGAGUCUUGCGGCUACGUGAGUGAGAAAUAUGAGUCUAGGGUUUUCGCAUCCUCCUUGUGAUUCUUCUUUUACCAUUUUGCCCUUAUGCGUUUUGGGCCUUUUCUAUUUUAUUUUUUUCUGUUUCU